This 205-nucleotide long non-coding RNA is filed under the name Carica papaya (papaya). RNAcentral's name for it is "long non-coding RNA (CPAP_LNC003361)". The record is from RNAcentral. Lineage: Eukaryota; Viridiplantae; Streptophyta; Magnoliopsida; Brassicales; Caricaceae.
UAUCGAGAAAUAUUUAUAAUGUAUCAAAAUAAUAUUGUACAUGUGCCACACAUAGAUAAAAUCAAUCCCAAUUUUAACCUAAUACACCGGUAUACACACAUCGCACGUGUCGCAAAUCAGAAUUAUGUAGUCCAUUAUUUUGAUACUUAUGGGCUUAGGUAAUUGGGCUGUCCAAAUCAUAAGCCCAUUAUUAGCCGACACAUCG